GACGAACGCUGGCGGCGCGCUUAACACAUGCAAGUCGAGCGAGAACCCAGGCUUCGGCCUGGGGGAAAGCGGCGAACGGGUGAGUAACACGUGGGUAAUCUGCCCUCGGCAUCGGGAUAGCCCGGGGAAACCCGGAUUAAUACCGGAUGGCCCGACGGCUCUUCGGAGCGGUCGGAAAAGGUAGCUUCGGCCUCCGGCCGAGGAGGAGCCCGCGGCGGAUUAGCUUGUUGGUGAGGUAAAGGCUCACCAAGGCUCCGAUCCGCAGCUGGUCUGAGAGGACGAUCAGCCACACUGGGACUGAGACACGGCCCAGACUCCUACGGGAGGCAGCAGUGGGGAAUCUUGCGCAAUGGGCGAAAGCCUGACGCAGCGACGCCGCGUGAGGGAAGAAGGCCUUCGGGUUGUAAACCUCUUUCAGGAGGGACGAAGCCACUCGGGUUAAUAGCCCAGAGGGUGACGGUACCUCCAGAAGAAGCCCCGGCUAACUACGUGCCAGCCGCCGCGGUAA
RNAcentral lists this ribosomal RNA (508 nucleotides) under uncultured bacterium. RNAcentral describes it as "partial 16S ribosomal RNA". It matches the Rfam family "Bacterial small subunit ribosomal RNA", at positions 28 to 523 of the family's 1533-position model. The record is from RNAcentral.